Molecule: transfer RNA, 73 nt
Filed under: Camelus bactrianus (Bactrian camel)
Lineage: Eukaryota; Metazoa; Chordata; Mammalia; Artiodactyla; Camelidae
Also listed under: 1 other name
Rfam family: tRNA
About the family: Transfer RNA (tRNA) molecules are approximately 80 nucleotides in length.
Source: Rfam by way of RNAcentral
GGGGGUAUAGCUCAGUGAUAACAGUGUAUGCUUGGCAUGCACGAGGUCCUGGGUUCUAUCCCCAGUACCUCCA